AUGAAAUCACCCAGAAAAGUUAAAACUGACAUUGUGGACAAAUCUAAAUGAAGUGCAUGUUUCCCAACAAACUAAUAAGAAGAUAAACAUAAAUAAAUAAGAAGAUAAAGAGAUUACAAACUUAAAUAAAAACAACCAUCAAAAUAAUAAAAAUAACAACAUAGUUCAAAAUAAAAAUAAAAUAAAGAAGUCUCACAAAUAAAAAUAAGACAACUAACAAAAGAAAAGAAAAAUAAAAUAAAAAUAAAAGUACAACUGGAAAAAAAAUAAACUAGAAUAGUAAAUCAGGUCAUGGAUCGACGUUGUGCGAAAUGUUGGGAUCCUGAGGUGCAUGAUCCAGUGGAGAAAUAUGGAAAUGCUGGCAAAUCCGCUACAAAUACACCUGAAUGGUAUUGAGUCGUGCUGACUACUAUUGCUGAGUACAAUAAAUAUCGUCGAGUGUGAUUGAAUGCGUAGGUGCAGCAAUAUAGGGGCUCGGAGGAGGAGUGGGAAUAGGUCACAAUGGUGGUGGGGGAUCAUUGUUGAGAUGAUCAUCAUCCUCGUGUUAAUGAGUCAAUCAUAACAACACAUGCUGAUCACAGAAAGGCCCAGGCUGAUGAGCAAUCAUCCUCAUGUGUCUCAUAAUGUUUAAACCAUGUGGUAUCAUAUCCCCAACCAAACUAAGAGUACUAAUCUGCUCAGGGUCUCGAGGAGGUCGAUGUAAUGAGCCAAGCCUGUGAUAUAUGGACCCAUACAAAGAGUAUUCUUCGUGUCUGCUCACUUUGAUUACUACAACAUUGGGCGACGAAGUGGGCUAGAUCAAUUAGAUGCCGCCUAUGCAUGCUCCAAAAGAAAUAUGUAUCUAAAGUGCCCACAACGCUCGUACUCUCCUUCUGGCUGGUCAAAGUAUGAGCUAGGAAAGUGUGAAUGCAAGCAAGGCUGAAGGAAAGCACUGAGCCUUGGAUUGGAUGAAGUUAUAUGGAACGACAACCUCAACGAUCUCUGACCAGUAGAGAGAGGCGGUAUAAUGGAUGUGUCAUAAGAGGGAGGAGAGUUCGGUCGUUGCUAGGAAAUCAUCAGAGUAUAGGUCGAGAGUGACAACAAAAGCAGCAAUACUAAAGUGUUAAGCGAUACCAAGACAGAAUGAUAUAGCUCAAGGUUCGUCCCCCGACGAAAGCACCGACUAUAGAAAAAAUAUGGAGUAAAACUCCAAUGUAAGCUCAGCAUAUGUGAGCUCCACGAUCAUGAAGAAUCGCUCCCAUGAAGUCACGUUUAGUAGAGAAUGAACCAGUGCAAAUAAACCCACAGUCUGAAAGGCUUCUCAAUCGAUACAUCAACCCACACCCAAGGCUCUACCCUUAAGAUUUUGGUACCUCUCCUCAUAGGAUGGAUGGUCAAAUGUGAGGUAGUGGUGGCAAUCGAUUGGAGAUGAGGAAGAUGAAGCUCCAGUAGCUUUUGUUUUCUUGGAAUGAGCGGGGACCUUACUCUUUCCUCAUGAGUUCGACAUUAUGUACCUGAAAUAAAAUAUAAUAACCAAAUAUUACCAUGAAUAAAGCAAAUGUACAAAUUAACACAAUAGUUCCAAUCCAAUAAGCUACAUAACAAACACCAAAUCCAAACGAAAACUUGAACCAAAAGACCAAACAACUAAUCUAAUAAUAAUUUAACCAACACGUAACAUUAUAUAAACAAUGAUAACAUAGUAAUAAUAAAGAUAAAAUAAAGUCUAAUAAUUAAUAAGAAUAAGAAUAAAACUGACAAUAAUUAAACCCAACUAAACAAAAAAUAUUAAUAAUAGUAAUAAUAAUAAAUAAAAUAUGAAAAAUAAAAGGGUUAAAACCAAACGGUGGGGGUUUUGACAAACUGUGGUGACAGAGGAACGGCGGUCGACGGCGUUGGAGGAAGGGCUCUGAUGAGGCGUAGGGAGGAGAACUGGGUUUGGGUGUUGAUUGCGAUUGGAAGGUGAAAGAAGGUGGUGUGAGAAAACGGUUACUGAACAGGGAGGAAAGGGAAAGGGGGAUUCGAAGGUGGUUCGGCCGAUGUAAGGGAGAGGAGGGAAAAAAAUGGAUGGUAGAGGAAACAACGCAAUCGACAGUGGAGGAAGGAAAAGGAAAAGAAGAAGCGUAAGGGUGUGGUGGGCAGUCGAUAGAGGGGGUUUGCGCAGUUAGUGGUUGGUGAUCAGACCAAUGAGGGAGGAGGAGCGAUAAAUGGAUAGAAUCAGUAGCGAAGAGGGCUGGGAAGAGAUCAGUGAGGGCAGCGAUGGCUAGGGUAAUUCAAAAAGAAGACAAAAGUAAAAAAAAAUUUAAAACGCUAGCUUAUAGAUGACACGAUCGUGUAAUUG
RNAcentral lists this long non-coding RNA (2320 nucleotides) under Gossypium barbadense (sea-island cotton). RNAcentral describes it as "long non-coding RNA (GBAR_LNC006975)". The record is from RNAcentral. Lineage: Eukaryota; Viridiplantae; Streptophyta; Magnoliopsida; Malvales; Malvaceae.